RNAcentral lists this ribosomal RNA (414 nucleotides) under uncultured bacterium. Its description in RNAcentral is "bacterial SSU rRNA". It matches the Rfam family "Bacterial small subunit ribosomal RNA", at positions 917 to 1333 of the family's 1533-position model. The record is from RNAcentral.
GGGCCCGCACAAGCGGUGGAGCAUGUGGUUUAAUUCGAUGAUACGCGAGGAACCUUACCAGGGCUUAAAUGUAGUGGGACAGGUCUAGAGAUAGACCCUUCUUCGGACUACUUACAAGGUGCUGCAUGGUUGUCGUCAGCUCGUGCCGUGAGGUGUCAGGUUAAGUCCUAUAACGAGCGCAACCCCUAUCGUUAGUUGCCAUCAAGUAAAGUUGGGAACUCUAACGAAACUGCCAGUGCAAACUGUGAGGAAGGUGGGGAUGACGUCAAAUCAUCACGGCCCUUACGUCCUGGGCUACACACGUGCUACAAUGGCCGGUACAGAGAGCAGCCACUUCGCAAGAAGGAGCGAAUCUAUUAAAACCGGUCUCAGUUCGGAUCGGAGUCUGCAACUCGACUCCGUGAAGCUGGAAUC